AUGGGCUCUCACCCCAGUGACUGCAGGAGGCCUUGAUUUGCUGUAGCCUAGCUUAGCCUAGCAUCCGGCUAGCAAGGCCCCACUUGUUACACUGUGGCAGUGCAGCAGCUAGCGUUAGCCUGCUCUGCCCAACGUAAUGCAGUGGAACACGGACUAGUGUAGCGUGCUGAAGCCCAGUCUAGUGAAGUGCUAAGACUCCUUCCUAGCAUAUGCUUGUGUUUAAUGCAGCGACCUGCUUCUGCGUGGUGAGUUUAGACAUACCCUGCAGUCAAGGUAUUGUGUGUGCGUUUGUGUAAUAUGUAAUCAGCGUGCCUCAAACAGGCAGAGUAUAACUAGGCCUGGCGUGGUGACAGUGCUUUAGACCAGUUCGUUGCAAGCCCACGCUGUUUCAGUUGCUAUUUGUGGCCGUGGACACUAAAACUGGAGUCUGUACCUUGAGAUGUCAGCCAAGGCCCGAAAGGUUAAGGAGGUAAAUGCAGCUUUUAAGCAGGGCGGAGGGAGAGGGGACCACUGAAAAGAUUAAUUGACUUUCUGCAGAGCUUCACUUAUCCUCCGCUGGCACCUUUGACUUAAUGAGGAAUUCUGGGCAGAAGACAGACGGACGUGGCUACACGAAUGCUGGUGAAGGUCAAAUGUCAGGUCCUGCUACAAGACAACUCCUCCAGAGGAUUAUGGAUCCAAAGGGACAACUUCAGGUUAACAGCUUCAUGUUGAUGCAGAACACGCACAUGGAUAGUCAUGACUGUGGAAGACGGUAUUAAUGUUUGCCUGUCCAUGAAGCCCCGGUGACACACGCAUACAGGUAUGUGCUGAAUAUGACCACGAAAUUAAACUGACGUCUCAUGUUUGCAGCAGUGAAUACAGAUCUGUCAGAUUUUGGUGACUAGCCCAAUUUCUCCCACUUUCAGCUGGAGGAGCAGGUAACAGUUUAUCUGUGUAUACUGCACCACAGCUCUAAUUGGAUUCCCCACAUGUAUUACUGAAAAACAAAUGUCCGUGGCUUCACUUAGCCCCAGCUUGUUCCUCUCAUGUAAUACAUACUUAAAUCACACAGAUAACUCUUCUGCUAAGAUACAGGAUACAUGCUGACUGUUUUAACCCCAAACUGUCAUUUGACAACAGUUGCUCUAACCCUUAUAGGCUCUUCUAACAAUGCAGACUAAAAAUAAAAUGACUUCUUGGUUAAUUAAAGAUGGCGACAAGAAAUGACGUCUCUCCCACUUUUUUUUUCUUUUUUUUUAAUGAAAAUUGAGCCAUUUUCAAAUAAAGCCAAAGUGGUGAUGUCAUUUCCGGGAACCAUUUUUAAUCUUUAUUUAUAUGAGAAGAAUGCAUGUAGUUGAGAAACAGUUUGAAAUUAUAUUUUUCCUGGACUGGAUUAUUUUUUGAUUCUGAUUGUUAGAAGAGCCUGUGAGAGUGCUAUCAAAUGAUGACAUGGGAUUAAUACAGUUGGUGUGUGUCAGUUCUGCAGGUUAGCACAAGAGUUACCUCUGUGUUCAUACACAAGUAUUACAUACCGGUGUAUAUAAUACACGAGUGUCACAAGCUGGGGCUAGAGUUUACUCUGAAAAUUAGCAACAGAUUGGAUUUUUUUUUUUUUUGUAACUUGUCUGAGAGCCAGACUCAAAAUUAGAAGGGGGACAAAAUUUUAGGCUUCUGCUGCAUUUAAUUCAGCCCUGUGUGUUCAGGAUAAUAUUUAUUUGAAGGUCUAGUAGUUAACUUUCUCUGGCUAUUGGAUUUUGAUCAGUUUACAUUGGGCUCUUUGUGAAGUUGCACUAUCAUUAGUUUGAAAUUUAAAGAUUUAACAUUUACAUUUUAUAUUAGGUGAACUGCUUAAUUUGAUUUAUUUGGGCUUGGUCCUUUUGGUGGACUGCUACAUUCAGUUUAUAGACCUAUAAGCACAUUGUAAUAAGGUUUGUGCUUGUAAAAAUGACACUUUCUUUUAUUAUACAGAUAUAUAAUUUCUUUUGAGCUUCUGAGACUACUCAUUUUCC
Molecule: long non-coding RNA, 1991 nt
Organism: Monopterus albus (swamp eel)
Lineage: Eukaryota; Metazoa; Chordata; Actinopteri; Synbranchiformes; Synbranchidae
Exons: 7
Source: RefSeq, a predicted model, not a curated record